AACGCGAGGAAAACAUCACAGCGUAAGUGAGAGUAAAAAUACCCGAAAUCAGUAUUAUUUUUCUUGUCACAAAGUAAACAAAAAGGGCUAUGGAAAUAACAAAUCAAAAUGACGAAAAUAACGGCAUAAAAAUUAAUCAUCCGCAAAAACAUUGCAUUGCCUCAAAAAGUCGGAAAGCGAAUUUUGGCAAACGGUGGGAAAAUGACGGCAGCAAAAGAAAAUGAAAUUGGCGAAAUUACGAGAAAAAAAAUCACACCAUAAUGAACAAAAUAUCUGUUUAGAAAAUGACUGAAUUUCACUUAUAAACAGCGGCAUUUCAAAAACAUCAAAAUUGUUGACAUUGUCGAGAAGUGCCUUCAAAAAGACAUAAUUGCCCCCCCCCCCCCACCACCACCAAAAAAAGUACAUUGUGAAAGGGUACAACUUAUUGGCAACCUGCCAUUAUCGGCGUCGGCACAUGUUCGUGUGCAUUAUGACAAAAAAAAGAUCAUGUCUGUUUUUAAAAGUAAAUAGUGGAAACAUGGGUAGAAUCGUUUAGUUUCUAUUUGGUAACAAGUGGCCUUAUUACAGGUAGGCUUAGACAUAAUGCUUUGGAAUGUUUCACUUCAGUAACAAAUGGGCUAGGCCCAGUGUUUUCGUAACCCUGUUCACUUAGGAAAGAGUUGCAGCUUUCAUCAAAGAAACUGAUGAUCUAAAAGCUGAGACUGCAUGGAUGAGCUAGGCUGCUUUGUCUGGACGAAAAUCAACCCUCCAAUGCUCCAACGGCCUCAUCACACAGAAACUCGAGGAACCGGAAGCAGGGAGUAGGACCGACAGAUGAACGGAUGACCUGCUUGCUGGGCUACCCAUUACUGAUUCUUGAGAAAAAUGAGGACCACUGACUGGUGAGGAAAUUGCUUUACUGAGAUUGAUGAGCCUGCCUCAAGACAUCUUCAGGGCUCCAAAAGCCUCAUCAAACAGAAACUCGAGGAACCGGAAGCAGGGAGGAGGACCGACGGAUGACCUGCUUGCUGGGCUUCUCAUUCCUGAUUAUUAGAAAAAUGAGGACCACUGGCUGAUGAGGAAAUUGCUCUACUGGGAUUGAUGAGCCUGCCUCAAGACAUCGUCAGGGCUCCAAGGGCCUCAUCAAACAGAAACUCGAGGAACCGGAAGCAGGGAGGAGGACCGACGGAUGACCUGCUUGCUGGGCUUCUCAUUCCUGAUUAUUAGCAAAGUGAGGACCACUGACUGAUGAGGGAAUUGCU
Long non-coding RNA from Patiria miniata (bat star), 1244 nucleotides. RefSeq lists it as uncharacterized. The transcript has 4 exons. The record is from RefSeq and is a predicted model, not a curated record. NCBI's taxonomy places the organism in Eukaryota, Metazoa, Echinodermata, Asteroidea, Valvatida, Asterinidae.